UAGGUAGUUUCUUGUUGUUGGG
Molecule: microRNA, 22 nt
Filed under: Pteropus alecto (black flying fox)
Lineage: Eukaryota; Metazoa; Chordata; Mammalia; Chiroptera; Pteropodidae
Description: pal-miR-196c-5p
Gene: pal-miR-196c-5p
Source: miRBase by way of RNAcentral